CAGAUACUAUCCCACAGACCUUCUCUUGGGACAGGGGGGGUGAGGCAGUACGUGCCGUUUUAAGCCAUGAGCUCCUUUCCGAAAAUACAUGCAAGUGUUCUCCUAAAUGCUGUGAAACUGGCCUGAGCCUGUGAGGAUUUGGGAUUGUGCACAAACCAGCCUGUCUUGAUGGAGCCAAGGAGAUCUGUAUACAUUCUGCUUGCAGGGUUUCAGGUGCGAGAAUCUCAUCUUCAGUCUGCAGACCAACACCAUGCAAAAAGAAUAUGGCUUAUUAGAUGGUGGUGGUAUCCAUUCAGUGAUAUGUCAUGAAGCAGCAAAUGCCAGUGUCUGUAUACUUGUAUAUGGACAGAAGCAGUUCUUCUGCAAUAGCCAUCAGCUGAAAGGAGGAACCAGCCCAGUCCCAGGAAAUACAGACAAAAAUGCACACAAGUCUCUGGCAGCAAUACCUGAGAAAGCUUUAUAGUGAAAAAGCAUUUGUGUUUCUUCCUGAAAACAAAACAGCUGGGGAAAAAAAAAAAAAUCAGCCAAAGAUGCUUCUUCUGAAGAACUCUGUGCAAUUUGCUUCACAAUUAGACACUUGAAAGGCACCUAACAGGGUUGUCUGGAACCCAUUUAAGAGAAGGACAGGGGGCUGCCUAUUCUGUCCAUGGCUGAGGAGGGAACUGGGGCUCUAUCAUGGGUGAUUUGCAAACAUCCAAAAGAGAGCCUUCAUUGUACUCUGGGGGGGCUGGAGGCCCAGUUAGUAUUUGGUGUGGUGCUGUGUCACCCAGAAUAUAUUCUUUCUAGAGAGCCGUGCCUGGUACCUGCAUUGUUUUCCUCAUUCAUUAUAUACUGGGCAUGCAUUAGUGACAGCACCAUAGGAAAUUGUAUUCAUCAUGCUAAAUUGCAUAUAUCUACCUGUCAGAAGCCUGCAUGUUACCCCAGUAAGGGCCAAGGCUUGACUGCUUCUUAGUAGUCUGGUGCAGAAGCGCACAUUACACAACUACCCUGUGUUCAAAUGAACCAAUACCUCAGACAGUAGCUGGUGCAAACCAGGAUGGCAGCUGUCUGUGGAUAUAAUCACAACUGAAGACAUACUGCCAGGGCUUCUGUGUCCUGGUUGCACAGCUAGGGGCAGAGCACUCAACUAUUUCUAAAGCUAGAUAUGCAAAUGCCUCUGGAAUGGAGCCUUUUACAGUUCUGCUCUCAUUAACCUGAUUUGCAUAUGUAAAUGACCUCUUGCCACAUGAUAAUGAGGUCUGCUCAUACAGAGAUGUUCAGCAUAUAAGGAGAGGGUUUUCAGUGACAAUCAGAGCAUUUUGGCCAAAGCAGCUGGUACAAGGACAGGACCAAGAAAGAAGUAAAGGCAGGAUCCAGGGACAACAGGGCAGGGAAGCAGAGGGAAGCAAAAGAAAAUCAAACGCUGCAGAUGUCUCCUCCAAAUGCCAAGGGCAUCUGCAGUUCUAGUGCCUUACUGGAGCAAUUUCAUAGUGGAGUCUGUGAAAUGAGAGCAGCUGGAGGACACUGACAAUUGGGAAGUGACCUGUGGCGUGGAGCUCCAUGGAAGAUAGCGGAUGUCUGGCUAUCGUAGAACAGCAAGCACGUGGCCUAGCAUUCACUGGCUGGUUUAAAGCAGCCUCUUCCAGUUAUUCCUAUGAGCACCAUCACAGAGAGCUGGACACAUGGCAAUGGGUCAGUCCUUCUUCAAGAGCAGUCUCCAGUUUAAUCAUUUCUCUGUGAUUACCUCCUUACCACUGGCACACUCAUCCAGAGGUGACACUUCUCAUUUCUUAUUCCUCAUAUGCUGCUUAGCUUCUCAUCAGGGAUAUUUCAUACCUAUGCCUCACUUAGUGCAUGUGGAGGCAAGACAAAAUCCUUCCUAGGUUUUCCUCCUUGGAUACCAUGCCCCUUUUAGAGAAGAAAUGACUGCUCAUAUCCUGAGAUAUUUGUCUUCCUGCUUGCCAUGUUUAACUCUUGAUUCCUGGUCCUGCUACAGAACAUUCAGCCGCUGAGGAUUUGCUGACUCAGAGCUCUUCAAAACCUACCUGAUUGGGCACCAUCUUUAUCCAGUUCAGAAAGAGGGAAUGAUCAGUUCCACUCAGACUUGCCCAGCUGUCUCAGGUAGGAAUACAACCCUUCUUUCUUUGAAAAGAGGAAAAGGCUGUAGAAGAUGGUAGUUAAUACCUGUUACUGGGGAAAAAGAAAUAAAAUAAUUGUGGGCUAACUCAGGAUUUGCCUGCAUAAAACCUUGUACUGGUACAUGGGAAGUGGUCGGUCUCUUUUUGUCACUGGAAAAAUAAUAGUAGCCAGUAUCAAAUAUCAAGAGCCCUAUUUAUAGCUGGUAAGCCACCAAACUGAGGUUAAAAAAAAAAAUGGUAGGGAUGCACAUCACAGUCAAUAAAUAAGAAUCUGUGUUGGUAUCUUUGUGAGCUAGCCAGAGUUAAGCUAAAUUAAGUUAAAAAAGUAGUGAAGACAAAGCAACUUGUGUAUUAGAUUAAUUUAGGAAGUUGAAUUCAAGCCUGUAAAGGAAAUUAGUUCAUCUCAUGACUACUUUUGGUUCACUCCCACUCAUACCAAAGGGAAGAUAAUGCAUAUGGGAGACAGAGAAACUUGACACACUUGUAUUUCUUUACCUGUCCACUGCUGACAGAGCCAUGCAGUGUGACUACAAGUAAUGGUUAACUUCAAAGCACUAAAAACUGAUUGUCGAACAUGCCCCAUCCUUUCUGCACAUCAGUAGGCAGUUCCUGGAGCAUCCACUGGCCCAAGCCCAACUCAUCUGUGUUCCACCCUUCACAAUGUCAUUACAUGAAGGAAUGAUGGUGUAAUCCCUCCCCAUCAUGUCCACCAGCAUAAACAUGAGAUUCAAUUUUACUGUAGUCACGCUGUCAGUAUAGUAUUUCCCAGUCAAUAAUAUCAUCCAGGCCCAUGACUGUCCCUUCCUAAAAAGCCUUCAGGUCUGGACCCUAAUUUUCUAAGCUUACAUCCCAAAGCCCUCUCAACACUGGGUGCUUUUAACAAAAGCAACAGUCUUGCAUAUCUAUGCUAAUAUUAAUUUGUUUGGUGGUCGUAAGGGAAGUGUUGUAAUGUGCAGAAUGACCUAGAAAUGAGUAGUGUCUGAAGAGCAUAGUCUGGGUCUUGUGGUUUAUUCAUAUAAAUAAAUCAGAAGGAUCAAGCAGAGCAUGCAGGGUCUUUUGAGUGUUUCUGUGUAGCCUGUCUGAGCAGCAAGCCCUUAACCACACACUCAAGCAACCUCUGGGAGUAUUAAGUCAAUUUGGGCAACUAACAACCUGUCCUAAAACUGAGCCUGCAAGCAUUUGCCAUUCCGAAAAGGCUGUCAGUUAACUAAGCCAAAAGCUUAUGGAAAUUCUCUCACUUGUAAGGUGCCAUCUUUAGAACACCUUUUGUUUAACUUUAUUUUUAGUUGUUUAGUAGGCAGGCAUUUUUGUAGGGGCUUUAAUCAGACAAGGGGUUUAUGAGGCUAUUCUGAGAGAAGGCAUUUAAUUAAUUCCAGACUUUUCCUCCCUCUUUUGUUCAGCUUAGGUAUACCAUCUACAUACCUAUCUAUAACAACUGAGGUAAAAAUCCUAUGAGAUUUCUAAGAAGUUUGGUUCAUCUUUCAUUAGAUUGCAGCAGAACUGAACCAUAUCCUCUCACUGCUAGACAUUUUUUGAACUAGGUUUUUCCCAGUCUCACUGGGGUAUGUAUGUGAGCUGGAAAGCUUCACAAUGCAUUAAGAUUUCAUGAGGGCCUAAUUCUGUUUUCUCUUACACUGCCCUGAAUCUUCAGCACACAGUGCUUCCACUUCAAUGUAACAUAACUGAGAAUACAGCAAGUCUCUGAGUAGCCAAGCUCCACUGCAUGUACCAUCUAAAAAAAUGGUGUUCUAACCAUGCAACUUGUGAUUUUUAUCUUGAAGAGAUAAAAGUUUAGUGUCAUUACUUCAUUCCUAUUAGAUAAGUGUUUUGGAGACAGGAAAGACAUUUUGGCUUAUAGUAAAAACUUUUAUUCCAAAUGUGCUCUUUUCUUUAACAAAAAAACAAAACAAAACAAAACAAAACCCAACCAUGAAGAAGGCAUUUUGAGAGAUCUUAUUUUGUACUAAAUGGUCAAUGUCCCUUCAUUAUUUUGGCAGGGCUAGGUUGCAUCUGCUGUUUCUGUAUGAAGUCAUGUAAGCAGGCACAGAAUUCUCAUCUUGUUCUGCUGUAUGUCAGGAUCUAAUUGUAGAUUUUGUGCUUUCACGGGAGGUACAAGCUCAGAACAGGACCUAGACAUCUUGUAGACCUGGGACCAGCAAGCACUUUUGCUCAACAUACCAUUAGUAGAAGAGUACACAAGACAAAACAUCAUAGAAUCAGUUCCCUGCCCCCGCAAAUAGCUGUGAGCACCUCAGUUUUUCCUAUUCCUGUCUGUAGCAUACAAUUUAGUCACCAGGAAAAUAAGUGCUGUGGUUUUAAGUAAAGUAGCUGAUGAGAAACUGAGUAAAUGGAUGAGUUCUUAAUUAAGUAAUUAGACAAAUAAGAAGGGAGAGGAUUAUAUGAUACAAAAUUGUGAAUAGAAUAGAAAAAGUAGGUCAGGAAUUUCUGUUCUCCCUAUAUCGUGAUGUAAGAACAAAAUGACAUGCAAUGAAGUUCAGAAGUGAGAAAUUCAAAGCUAAUGAGGGAAUGGUUUCAUGUAACCCAUAAUUAUCUAGUGGAAGCCUUUCACUCCUGGAAGUCCUUGAUGCCAAGGAUUUAUCAAGUUUAGCACUGAGACUAAACUAUCCAGAAUUAUCAGAGAUAACAACAGCUUUACAAAACAAAUUCAACCUUGCUUCUGGUUUUAAUCCAGUCUUAACUCUGAAAGUGAACUCCUUCAGCUUUGACACCUUCCUUUGAGCUAUUUGGUUACGGCCACCACCUGAGAUAGGUCAUUGGAGCACAGAAAUCUGAGUCAGCCUGGUGAUUCUUGCACUUUUAUACCCAUAGUAAAGUCUCCUUUAUAUUUGAUCUGGGGUGUGGGACAAAGUCCCAUCCCAAGGACAUUUACAUGCUAGGCUUGCUCAAAGAGCUACAGCUCCCUGCAAAUGAACAUAGCAAUGAACACAGUUUCUCUGCAGCCAUAGGAGAUACCCAGCUGAAAGAGGAUUCAUCCCCUGCAACAACUAUCAGCAUUCUCGAUGAGAUUUUCAGAGGCAUCCAUGUUACCUGUCUUGGAAAAUGGGCCAUGUGUCUGCGGAUCUUUAAGCCCCUGGGAUCCUUCUCAUGUCACCAGGAGCUCAAAGAUCUGAGGCCUCAUUAUUACUGCUGUUCCAUCAGAGCAGAUCUGCUGCGAACGCACAUUUUUUCUGCACCUUACAUAUUAUUCCAGAUAUUCAAAGCCAACUCUCUCAACCUGACCCAAGUGUAUUAUGGUGCAUUUAAAUCUGAUGUAAAUCAUAAAUUUGCUGAGGACAAGCUGCUUUAUAUUUUCAAUCAACUUUUGGCUCAUGUGUUUUAAGUGUGCUUAAGAGUUUUACACACUUUCAUCAAAACCAGAUGAUUCGAUUAUUUUCUGUAUUCAUAGUACACCAUUGCUUUGCCUGCAUAUUUACAGCAGCUAUUAAAACAUAUGAAAGUCAUCAUGUGCUUCAGAAGGAUCAGGGUAAUCACAUCCACCAGUGAAACACAUUAAUUUUCAGCCUAUUCCAGCAAGAUAUGGAAGAAGAAAAUCAUCAAGAACCAAAACUAUUGGAUAUUGUUGGUUUACUUGGAGCAUGGGGUUGGAGGUCCCCUAGAGCCUGGUGGCAUUUCUGUUGACCGAGGUGAUGACAGAGACUCCUGUCAUAUUUCAAUGAGAGCUACCUGAUGAAACUGACAGUGCCGAUGACAGUUCAACUGGCACAUAAACCCAGAGAUUUUUUCUGUUCCUAAAUAAACAUAUUGUCUUUGCUCCAGGAGAGAGCCUUCAAGGCUGUGCAGCUCUGGAAUUUACUUACAUGCACCUUCCUGACAUGGGAUGCUGAAAUGUUACACAGUAAAUCUGCAUUCUGUAUUAAUAUGAAACCAUAUUGUAGUAGCUUAAUAGAGGAUAAAGCAGAAAAAAAAGCUUGAAUGAAAACAACUCAAGAGAAAUCACGUCCUGGUAAAAUACUUAUGUGUGUUAAAAGACAAUGCCAGGCCAGGAAACAAACAGCAGCAUAAAAUUAGAAUGGCUACAGCAGUUUAAGUAGAGACUCUCACAAGAAUAGCAACUGUUGGAGCUCUUCAAACUGAUACAGGCAUCUACAGACACAUCUGUAAAGAUGCUAGUUUAGCCUGCAGGGUGUCAGGCCCUGGUCUUACAGUGAAACAAAUGUAUGCACUGACUUCUUGAUACUUCAGCAACCAGUUAUCUUAAUUAAGUUUGUUCCUCCUGUGAAGCAAAAAUAACAACUUUGGUUACCGUCUUCUGCAAUAUCACAGACUUUCACUGGAAAAAGCUAUAGUUACAGAUUCAGUUGCGAAAGUGUGUGGCUAAGCACAACUAGUAUACAUGGUGUGUCCCUGAAUCCCACUUGGAAGAUGCUAAAUUCACGAGGCCAGAUUUUAUGUGCCUUAUAGCAAUAAGAUUUCAGUCACUGCAUAUGCAUAUGUAAGUUUUGCAUUCCACAGUGACUUUGUUUCCAAACUUUGACCACACAUGCAGUUCAUGUAAGAUGCUUUCAUGUAAGAUGGUUCAUCUAAGAAUUGGUUCCAGCAAUUCAUUUCAUUAGCAAAGUUAAAUAUAACUUUGUCAGUGUAAAGUGAUAUCUUCAGUAAAAUUCAGCCUGCUCUAGAAAAAAAUACAUAAAGGAAACCUGCUGUAGAACAAUAAUCUGUGCUUUCUGGCAACAAAGAGACAACAGAGUGGUAAAUAAA
This is a long non-coding RNA of Pezoporus flaviventris, 6836 nucleotides long. RefSeq lists it as uncharacterized. The record is from RefSeq and is a predicted model, not a curated record. The transcript has 3 exons. Lineage: Eukaryota; Metazoa; Chordata; Aves; Psittaciformes; Psittacidae.